Long non-coding RNA from Numida meleagris (helmeted guineafowl), 1434 nucleotides. RefSeq lists it as uncharacterized. The record is from RefSeq and is a predicted model, not a curated record. NCBI's taxonomy places the organism in Eukaryota, Metazoa, Chordata, Aves, Galliformes, Numididae. The transcript is spliced from 2 exons.
AACAGCAGUACUUUGGUUCAGUCAUCCUUAUAUAAGAGCCUUUACAACUUAGAUCAAAGUUGAUAUUCUGAUAAAGCUCUUGCCUGUUGAAGAUUAAUGUCUGCUAUUCUCAGCACAGCGGACAAGCUACAAGCACCAGUGUGAUUUAUAUCAGUGAUACCUGAAUCAGGUGAAUUUCCUGAACUACUCCUAUAGAAAUGGAAGUUCAUUUGUAUAGCUUGUAUAACUUUGUAAAAAUGUUUUUUUCUCAAAAUUUGUAACUCCCACAUACGUACAGUGCCAACAAAGCUCCGCUACUUUUCUUCUGUUUGUGGAUUACUAGUUUUUAGACAAUUACUGAAGAAUAAACUGGAAAUAAACACCCUGGGAAAUCAUACGUUAAUUUUUAUUAACAUACCACUUUUCAAUUUCUGCCCUUGUUGCAGUCGUCAGACCUCUUGGAAAAUAUUGCCUCACGUGCCUGGCCUGUUGUUACUGGCCUGCUGGAUUGCUUAGCAUCCGAACUUCAGCUUAGUGAUCUGAAUCAUACACAGCGAUUUAGCGCAGUUCAGAGGCACAUAGGCUAAAAGAUACGCAUCUCUGCUAUCACUUUCUGCUUUCACUGAACCCAUUUGGGAGUACUGUCAUCGAUUUUACUGACAUAACACCUAGUCCUAAUCUGCACAUGCAUAUACUUGAUUUAUAUAGUUUAUGUACUCCAUAGUCAGCUUUGUAGGACCAGCUGCUAAGGUUGCCAGUUUUAGAUAAAUAAUUAAUCUGUGCUUAUUUUUCAGUAGCAGCUUGUUUCUUUUUCUGCUAAAUGACAAUUUUAUACACCUACAGUCUCCUGGGAUCUAUGAAGUAUGGCCGAUGUCAUCAGCAGAAUCCUGAGCGAUCUGCGUUUCCCACUGAUCCUGGUAGAACUACUUCAAAUUUGCAUGAAGUAAAUGCAAAUGUGACUUCUGCUCCCCUGUUCUAGCUCAGAGAGCACUCUUCUUAUGCUUGGUAAGCCAUCACCUGAAGAGAAGUUGUCUGGAAACUGUUGUCUCAUCUGCUAAGGUGAUACCAGCAGAGAGAUCCUGCUGUUUGAGGUGGGGAAGGAGUGGCGCAGCAUUUCCAGGACUGAGCUUGAGACCGUUGGUUUGAUCAAAUGGCCCCCUCAGUGACUCUAAGUUAGGUCCUCUACUCCAUGCUGCUGCCUCUUGCUUGGAUGGUGCCAAAGAGCAGUGGGUGCAGUGUACGUAAAGAGGUUCCGUGAUGGCCCCUUAUGAAUACUCACAGCAAUUCAGUGCUGGCGUCUUUGCUAGGCCUUGUCAGCAUGAGUAUGUGCGAACUGUUGAGCUGUCUAACCUCUGCAGUCGUGAUGAAGCAACUGCAAAUUGCAAGAAAAAAAAAAAAAGAAAUAAACCAGAACCUCUUUAGAGUCAUUAAUAAAAUAAAGAAUUCUGUUUCUCA